Molecule: long non-coding RNA, 739 nt
Filed under: Mytilus galloprovincialis (Mediterranean mussel)
Lineage: Eukaryota; Metazoa; Mollusca; Bivalvia; Mytilida; Mytilidae
Source: RNAcentral
GUCCUCAUUGUUGAAGACCGUACGGUGACCUAUAGUUGUUAAUGUCUGUGCCAUUUGGUCUGUUGUAGAGAGUUGUCUCUUUGGCAAUCAUACCACACCUUCUUCUUUUUUUUUUUAUAAUUACCCAACAUGGCCAUUUCGCAUUUCGCGGGCACUACGUCGACUAAGCUUGCGGUCUCCGAAAUUGGGCAUUUCCUUACAUAAUUGGCGUGUUCUGUGGAAAAAAAAAGAUUGGUUCAAAGACAAAUUAAAGAAGUAAAAAACACUACAUGUAUACGUCAUAUCACAAAUAUUUCCGACUUUCAUGGUAUGGUUUUAGAGGAGUUGCGGCUCAAUGAAAUCGGUCUCUUCCUUUAGUAGUAUAGAUUAUACAUGUAUGAUAUACUAGAUUUAAUAUAAUUUACCAUAUAAAAAACAAACCAUCUCGCCAUAUUAUGCAUGAGUAGAUAAUUUACUAUAGCUAUUGUUAUGAAAUAUUUUUAAAACUGACUGUGAUUUCAAUGGUGUCUUUUGCAAUGAAUAGAAAUAAGAAAAUAUGGUAUGAGAGCCACUGAGACAACUCUCCAUCCAAGUCAUAAUUUGUAAGAGGAAACAAUUAUAGGUCAAAGUACGACCUUCAACACGGAGCUUAUGCUUAUCAAUUUUUUUCCACAGACGGGAAUUUUUUCAACUAGCUCUUGUAUUAUCUGAUCUUAAUCUUCCUCCGAAAUGUUUGAAACGUUGAUUUUGUUAAAUUGCA